RNAcentral lists this ribosomal RNA (301 nucleotides) under uncultured bacterium. RNAcentral's name for it is "partial 16S ribosomal RNA". It matches the Rfam family "Bacterial small subunit ribosomal RNA", at positions 509 to 808 of the family's 1533-position model. The record is from RNAcentral.
CAGUCGCCGCGGGAAUACGUAGGGUGCGAGCGUUAAUCGGAAUUACUGGGCGUAAAGCGUGCGCAGGCGGUUCGUUAAGACAGAUGUGAAAUCCCCGGGCUUAACCUGGGAACUGCAUUUGUGACUGGCGAGCUAGAGUAUGGCAGAGGGGGGUAGAAUUCCACGUGUAGCGGUGAAAUGCGUAGAGAUGUGGAGGAAUACCGAUGGCGAAGGCAGCCCCCUGGGCCAAUACUGACGCUCAUGCACGAAAGCGUGGGGAGCAAACAGGAUUAGAUACCCCCGUAGUCCCUGUCUCUUAACA